CCUACGGGAGGCAGCAGUGGGGAAUAUUGGACAAUGGGGGGAACCCUGAUCCAGCCAUGCCGCGUGUGUGAAGAAGGCCCUCGGGUUGUAAAACACUUUCAGUGAGGAAGAACGCCUGGUGGUUAAUACCCAUCAGGAAAGACAUCACUCACAGAAGAAGCACCGGCUAACUCCGUGCCAGCAGCCGCGGUAAUACGGAGGGUGCGAGCGUUAAUCGGAAUUACUGGGCGUAAAGCGCGCGUAGGUGGCUUGAUAAGCCGGUUGUGAAAGCCCCGGGCUCAACCUGGGAACGGCAUCCGGAACUGUCAAGCUAGAGUGCAGGAGAGGAAGGUAGAAUUCCCGGUGUAGCGGUGAAAUGCGUAGAGAUCGGGAGGAAUACCAGUGGCGAAGGCGGCCUUCUGGACUGACACUGACACUGAGGUGCGAAAGCGUGGGUAGCAAACAGGAUUAGAUACCCGAGUAGUC
This 465-nucleotide ribosomal RNA is filed under the name Vreelandella stevensii. RNAcentral describes it as "partial 16S ribosomal RNA". It matches the Rfam family "Bacterial small subunit ribosomal RNA", at positions 338 to 795 of the family's 1533-position model. The record is from RNAcentral. Lineage: Bacteria; Pseudomonadati; Pseudomonadota; Gammaproteobacteria; Oceanospirillales; Halomonadaceae.